UACAGAGGUCUCAAGCGUUGUUCGGAUUCAUUGGGCGUAAAGGGUGCGUAGGUGGCGCGCUAAGUCAGGUGUGAAAUUUCGGAGCUUAACUCCGAAACUGCAUUUGAUACUGGCGUGCUUGAGGACUGGAGAGGAGACUGGAAUUCAUGGUGUAGCAGUGAAGUGCGUAGAGAUCAUGAGGAAGACCAGUGGCGAAGGCGGGUCUCUGGACAGUUCCUGACACUGAGGCACGAAGGCCAGGGGAGCAAACGGG
Molecule: ribosomal RNA, 253 nt
Filed under: uncultured bacterium
Lineage: Bacteria
Description: partial 16S ribosomal RNA
Rfam family: Bacterial small subunit ribosomal RNA
Source: RNAcentral